GGGUGACUCAGGUGCACAUUAAGUUUUGAUUAACACUCGCUUAGACCAUCUGUAUAAACUUUAGUUUAUACAAGCAAAAGACAGGGAACUCUGUGAUGAAGAAAUCUCUAAGGACUCUGAGAAGAAUGGUCCUGUACUCGAGUUUGAGUUUUAAACUAGGAAAAUGACUAAUAAUUGAAAAUAAUGGGAACUCUGUGGAAUUUUCUUUGUAUGUCAUCAUGAAAUUGCUGUGUAACAAACAACCAAGAUCCAAAAUAGCAAGACUGGGAGAGUUUGUGUGCUGCAGGAAGAGACCAACAAGAAACAGAAGAUCAGUCAGUGCAUGGGUAGAUGACAUCUGUGCAUCCCAUUGUGUGAAAAAUAAUCUGCUGAUUUUGCCCUUUGUUCUAAAAUAAAUUCAUUACAUAGGCCAUAUCA
Molecule: long non-coding RNA, 417 nt
Filed under: Homo sapiens (human)
Lineage: Eukaryota; Metazoa; Chordata; Mammalia; Primates; Hominidae
Description: HSALNT0322865
Source: RNAcentral